AACGAACGCUGGCGGCGCGCCUAAUACAUGCAAGUCGAGCGAGAAGGUGUAGCAAUACACUUGUAAAGCGGCGAACGGGUGAGGAAUGCAUGGGUAACCUACCCUCGAGUGGGGAAUAACUAGCCGAAAGGUUAGCUAAUACCGCAUACGUUUCCGGAACUUCGGUUUCGGAAAGAAAGCAAUACCGUGGGUAUUGCGCUCCUGGAUGGGCUCAUGUCCUAUCAGCUUGUUGGUGAGGUAACGGCUCACCAAGGCUUCGACGGGUAGCUGGUCUGAGAGGACGAUCAGCCACACUGGCACUGCGACACGGGCCAGACUCCUACGGGAGGCAGCAGCAAGGAAUAUUGCGCAAUGGACGAAAGUCUGACGCAGCGACGCCGCGUGGGGGAGUGAAGGUCUUCGGAUUGUAAACCCCUUUCGGGAGGGAAGAUGGAGUGGGUAACCACUUGACGGUACCUCCACGAAGCAGCCACGGCUAACUUCGUGCCAGCAGCCGCGGUAAU
This 503-nucleotide ribosomal RNA is filed under the name uncultured bacterium. RNAcentral describes it as "bacterial SSU rRNA". It matches the Rfam family "Bacterial small subunit ribosomal RNA", at positions 29 to 524 of the family's 1533-position model. The record is from RNAcentral.